GUACCUGUAGCUCAGUUGGAUAGAGCGUCUGGCUACGGACCAGAAGGUCGGGGGUUCGAACCCCUCCAGGUACGCCA
RNAcentral lists this transfer RNA (77 nucleotides) under Oligosphaera ethanolica. RNAcentral's name for it is "tRNA-Arg". It matches the Rfam family "tRNA". Rfam says of the family: Transfer RNA (tRNA) molecules are approximately 80 nucleotides in length. Their secondary structure includes four short double-helical elements and three loops (D, anti-codon, and T loops). Further hydrogen bonds mediate the characteristic L-shaped molecular structure. tRNAs have two regions of fundamental functional importance: the anti-codon, which is responsible for specific mRNA codon recognition, and the 3' end, to which the tRNAs corresponding amino acid is attached (by aminoacyl-tRNA synthetases). tRNAs cope with the degeneracy of the genetic code in two manners: having more than one tRNA (with a specific anti-codon) for a particular amino acid; and 'wobble' base-pairing, i.e. permitting non-standard base-pairing at the 3rd anti-codon position. Lineage: Bacteria; Pseudomonadati; Lentisphaerota; Oligosphaeria; Oligosphaerales; Oligosphaeraceae. The record is from RNAcentral.